Molecule: ribosomal RNA, 119 nt
Organism: Lepisosteus oculatus (spotted gar)
Lineage: Eukaryota; Metazoa; Chordata; Actinopteri; Semionotiformes; Lepisosteidae
Source: Ensembl
GCCAGCAGCCAUAUCACCCUGCAACUCACAACUGGCAACCAACUGAAGUUAAGGAGGUGUGAGCCUGGUCAGUACCUGGAUGGGAGACAUCCUGGGAAAAACUAAGGUUGCUGCUGGAA